Molecule: non-coding RNA, 55 nt
Organism: Salmo salar (Atlantic salmon)
Lineage: Eukaryota; Metazoa; Chordata; Actinopteri; Salmoniformes; Salmonidae
Source: Rfam
UGCGCGCAUCACUGUUAAGUCGCUUUGGAUAAAAGCGUCUGCUAUAUGGCAUAAA